UACGUAGGGUGCGAGCGUUAAUCGGAUUUACUGGGCGUAAAGCGUGCGCAGGCGGCCCGUUAAGACAGGUGUGAAAUCCGACGGCUUAACCGGAGGACUGCACCUGAUACUGGGCUGCUAGAGGUAAGGAGAGGAAGGUGGAAUUCCCGGUGUAGCGGUGAAAUGCGUAGAUAUAUGGAGGAACACCGGUGGCGAAAGCGGCUCUCUGGACUGUAACUGACACUGAGGCUCGAAAGCGUGGGUAGCAAACAGG
Molecule: ribosomal RNA, 253 nt
Filed under: uncultured microorganism
Description: partial 16S ribosomal RNA
Rfam family: Bacterial small subunit ribosomal RNA
Source: RNAcentral